Non-coding RNA from Pimephales promelas (fathead minnow), 349 nucleotides. Lineage: Eukaryota; Metazoa; Chordata; Actinopteri; Cypriniformes; Leuciscidae. The record is from RefSeq and is a predicted model, not a curated record.
UUUUUUCUCUAACAGCUUUUACAUUUCAAGAAUAUGCAAAGGGAAUCAUCUCCCAUUCCCAUACUUGGCUGACCGCAGGAGCAAGCUUGGUUAUAGUAUAUCAUCCUCCUGAGCAUUAUUACAAUCCAGAAGAUGGAAGUGGAUAUCUGGCAUGGAGAAUAAAAACCCUGCAGAAAGAAGCAUCAGAGAGACGGAUGAAACGCCAACGGAAACCACAAACAGGUGCGCCAACUACUGGCAGGGAUCCCUUCAAAGCCGCGUGGCCUCACACAGACUAGUGAGCUCCAAGACCUUAUCCAAAAUGCUGAAGCCUCCAGUGUAUGACUGAUAGACAACAACGGUUUGACUG